AGAGGGCGAACAGGAGCACGAAGGCGCAGCGAACGGGGCCCAGGCCCAGGCCGGCGGCGGACAUGUUAAAAUUUUUGUGAUUUUGCUGUAUAGACAGAUGGGUUGCUUGCGAUCUGCUGAUGAACUGAUGUAGCUGAAAAAGGAAAAAUGAACCAAGAUGAUGGGUAUGCUUUGGAAGGCUUAAUAUCAAGUGUUCCAGUAUCAUCAGAUUGGAGAAACCAACCCAUGAGAACUUAAAACAUACUUGG
This is a long non-coding RNA of Callorhinus ursinus (northern fur seal), 248 nucleotides long. RefSeq lists it as uncharacterized. Lineage: Eukaryota; Metazoa; Chordata; Mammalia; Carnivora; Otariidae. The record is from RefSeq and is a predicted model, not a curated record.